Molecule: transfer RNA, 62 nt
Filed under: Rena humilis (western threadsnake)
Lineage: Eukaryota; Metazoa; Chordata; Lepidosauria; Squamata; Leptotyphlopidae
Description: Glu-tRNA
Source: RNAcentral
GUUUCUAUAGUUGAAAUACAAUAGCGGUUUUUCGGGUCGCGGGUCCCGUUUGGGUGGAAACU